Molecule: unclassified non-coding RNA, 231 nt
Filed under: plant metagenome
Description: partial contains small subunit ribosomal RNA, internal transcribed spacer 1, and 5.8S ribosomal RNA
Source: RNAcentral
UCUCCGUUGGUGAACCAGCGGAGGGAUCAUUACAGAGUUGCAAAACUCCCAAACCAUUUUGAACGUUACCUAUCCCGUUGCUUCGGCGGGCGGCCCGGGCCCCGCGCCCGGCGCCCCCCGGCCCCCCGUGGGCGCCCGCCGGAGGUUAACCAAACCCUUGAAUUGCAUGGCCUCUCUGAGUCUUCUGUACUGAAUAAGUCAAAACUUUCAACAACGGAUCUCUUGGUUCUG